AUUGAACGCUGGCGGCAUGCCUUACACAUGCAAGUCGAACGGCAGCACGGGUGCUUGCACCUGGUGGCGAGUGGCGAACGGGUGAGUAAUACAUCGGAACGUACCUUAUCGUGGGGGAUAACGCAGCGAAAGCUGUGCUAAUACCGCAUACGCCCUGAGGGGGAAAGCGGGGGAUCGCAAGACCUCGCGCGAUUAGAGCGGCCGAUGCCUGAUUAGCUAGUUGGUGGGGUAAAAGCCCACCAAGGCGACGAUCAGUAGCUGGUCUGAGAGGACGAUCAGCCACACUGGGACUGAGACACGGCCCAGACUCCUACGGGAGGCAGCAGUGGGGAAUUUUGGACAAUGGGGGCAACCCCGAUCCAGCAAUGCCGCGUGAGUGAAGAAGGCCUUCGGGUUGUAAAGCUCUUUUGUCAGGGAAGAAACACCGGCUCUAACACAGUCCGGGAAUGACGGUACCUGAAGAAUAAGCACCGGUUAACUACGUGCCAGCCGCCGCCGUAA
This 501-nucleotide ribosomal RNA is filed under the name uncultured bacterium. RNAcentral's name for it is "partial 16S ribosomal RNA". It matches the Rfam family "Bacterial small subunit ribosomal RNA", at positions 29 to 523 of the family's 1533-position model. The record is from RNAcentral.